CUUGAUUCAGAAACAGGACUAUAUGGCAGUGUAGAUCCAGCCUGAGCUGGUUUAUUUCUAAACCAACCCAAUGUGUCUGUUAUGACUAGCAGCAGAUCCAGAGCUUGGAAUAAAAAAAUGCACAUAUUGUGUACUGCACCUUCUAACUGAUCAAGAAAUUCUGGGAAACUUCAUAUAUAAAAAGGAACUUUUCUAGGCAUUGCAAAUUUCAAGCAGAGAUAUUUGGAGAUGGCAAGAGUGAGACGCGUUUUCUUUGAAUUCAGUCCUGAGUCAUGUCUGUUCCCUGAGUUGGUGACAUUCCUUCUUAAUUGCACAUAAACUAAAAAUAUAUAGGUGCCAUACAAACUAAAAAUAUACUGUGGAGUGGUAUCGCAAUAGUGUUUUCGCACUAUUGAAAAGCAGUUGUGCUUGUUUAAGUUGGGAAGACCAUUUUUUGCUGUUUCUAUGAUUGCUGUUGCAGUUUCCUGUGACUUUAUUCCUUGAAGCUGCCUUUGAGGAUUGGGGAACCCUUCUAAAUGUAAUGGGGGAUUUCAGGGAAAUACAAGGGAUCAGCAAAAACAUCAGACGUCUUCCUUUCUGGACCUCUUGAUUUAUGCAACCGUUGGACCUUAAAAGCAGGGUACCUUUCUCAUUCCUAUUAUUUUAUUUAUUGUGUCAGAAGCGAAUUGAGGGUACUGUUAUAAUUUAUUUUAAAACACUAAAUUAUAAUUUAUUUUAAAACACUGUUAUAAUUUAUUUUAAAACAGGCUGUGCCGCAGGCUGUUGAGCAGCUGCAAUAAAUCACUCUGACCAUGAGGUCAUGAGUUCGAGGCCAGCCUGUGGCAGGGUGAGCACCCGUCAAUUAAAAAUAAAAAAUAGCCCCUGCUCGUUGCUGACCUAGCAACCCGAAAGAUAGUUGCAUCUAUCAAGUAGGAAAUAAGGUACCACUUAUAAAAAAAAACGUGGGGAGGCAAGUUUAACUAAUUUACGACCUGGAAUGAGGAAGUGCCGUCAGAGUGGAUGAUGAAGCAGCUGCUCCCCCCUGUGGAAUCGAACAUCCCCUCAGGAGAAGGUUAAGUUGCCUCUGCGUCUGUCUGUCUCGGUCUCUGUUUGAUGUGUUUAUGGGCAUUGAAUGUUUGCCCUAUGUGUGUAUAAUGUGAUCCGCCCUGAGUCCCCUUCGGGGUGAGAAGGGCGGAAUAUAAAUACUGUAAAUAAAUAAAUAAAAACUUGGCAUUAUACUAGAUUUCCUUUGACCAGAAGGGCACUUGGAGUGCCUCUGUGAGAAGGUCCCACAUUGUUCCAUGUGGCAGGGCUCAGGUUGCAUUAUAGUAAGUGGUCUGUGGUUUGCUCUUCUCUAUACUCACACGUCGUGGACUCCACUUUGUGGCCCCAUUUCUUAAGAUUAGCUCUGCGUCUUGUGAUCUAUUCAGCGCCUUCCAAGUCGCCCAGUCUUCUAUGUGCCCAGGAGGGGGUUUCUCAUCCGGAAUCAGCCAUGGAUGAAAGUUCCGGGUUUUAACCUGCCACUUUUGGACUCUCUCUUGCUGAGGUGUUCUUGAGAGUAUCUCUGUAAAUCUUAGGAAGUUGUUUCUUGAUUUAAGUCGUCAGCAUGCUGGCUGAUAUCUGAACAGAGGAUGGGGCCAGAGAUGUCAAUGCCUUGGUCCUUUCAUAACUGGCUGCUACAUCCCAGUGAAUAUCAGGUAGUGCAAUAUCAGCUAAACAGUAUACUGUAUAUACUCCAAGUAUAAGCCUAGUUUUUCAGCCCUUUUUUUAAGACUGAAAAAGCCCCCCUCGGCUUAUACUCGGGUGAGGGUCCUGGUUGGCUUAUAUUUGGGU
This is a long non-coding RNA of Anolis carolinensis (green anole), 1812 nucleotides long. NCBI's taxonomy places the organism in Eukaryota, Metazoa, Chordata, Lepidosauria, Squamata, Anolidae. The record is from Ensembl.